UAGAGUUGAAAAACUCCUAAAACCCAUUGUAAACCUACCUGUUGUUGCUUCGGCAGGCGGCCCCAGGGCGGGGCCAUAGCCUGUUUGGCGUCUGCCGAAGGAACAAAAAAAACUCUUGCUGUCUUAGCAUAUCUGAAUCUAAAACAAAUAAGUCA
RNAcentral lists this unclassified non-coding RNA (155 nucleotides) under uncultured Sordariomycetes. RNAcentral describes it as "sequence contains ITS1". Lineage: Eukaryota; Fungi; Ascomycota; Sordariomycetes. The record is from RNAcentral.